AUCCAGUUGACAAGUCCAAAAUAGGACAAAACGCGCUUUCUAGAU
Schistosoma margrebowiei is the source of this 45-nucleotide non-coding RNA. The record is from Rfam. Lineage: Eukaryota; Metazoa; Platyhelminthes; Trematoda; Strigeidida; Schistosomatidae.